Molecule: long non-coding RNA, 807 nt
Organism: Olea europaea var. sylvestris
Lineage: Eukaryota; Viridiplantae; Streptophyta; Magnoliopsida; Lamiales; Oleaceae
Exons: 4
Source: RefSeq, a predicted model, not a curated record
GGAUCUGGGCAACCCAAUCCUUUAAUUGGUUGGGCCUGCCCGGAAAACCUACAAUUUAUUGAUCGACAGUUUGUUAAACAUUCGCCCCAAUUAGUAAAACGAAUAAUCAAAUCGUUGAUGUUUAGCUCCUCCCUCUCUCUCUAUCCUGAGAUCGGCAAGGUGCAAAUCUGCAAUCGAGAAUGAAUUAUGGACCGCUCAUCAACCUCGAAAUCUCUCUUUUGAAAUGACUGAAUCAAGAUUCAGCUCUAUUCCAGUUGCUUCACUAUUUCUACUUUCGGCACACCCUACAAUCGAUAAUACUUGUCAGGCAAAACCAUAGCACAUUCACUCAAUUGAAGUGAAACAUUGUGUAUAUUGAAAUGCUAGCUCAAAAGGAAAAACAAUUGACCGCAGGAACUACAAAAUUGAUCCUGUCAAGAGAUUGGACACUUGGAUACUACAUAAGAACUGGGUGCAAAUCUCAUUCUCCAACUUCUGCCAGUCGCAAGUGGAAAGCUGAUGGAACUUGGACUCGAUCUCUCAGGAGGCAGCUGAUGAGACUGGAAUGAUGGAAUAGUCGACGAAGCUGCCUGCUGUUGAAGUUUCCCCUCCUUCCACCUUAAAUAUGACUGCUGUAACUUCCAUGGAACCUGUCUUCAAAGGACAAAAUUAUUAAUUUGAACUUUAACGUUGCAUGAUAUUAGUCAGGAGCGAUAUCCAAAUUUAGUAAUGUGGGGAUGUACAACAUAGUGAUUAUGUUGAUUAGAAUUUGACGUGGCUGAAUUUAGAGAGAGAGUGGAGUGGCCUUACUAACUGAUCUAACAAUUU